AUACGGAGGGUGCAAGCGUUACUCGGAAUCACUGGGCGUAAAGCGCGCGCAGGCGGCUUGGUAAGUUGGAUGUGAAAGCCUACGGCUCAACCGUAGAACUGCAUCCAAAACUGUCAAGCUAGAGUGUGGGAGAGGAAUAUGGAAUUAGUUGUGUAGGGGUAAAAUCCGUAGAGAUAACUAGGAAUACCAAAAGCGAAGGCAAUCUUCUGGAAAACUACUGACGCUGAGGCGCGAAAGCGUGGGGAGCAAACAGGAUUAGAAACCCUUGUAGUCC
RNAcentral lists this ribosomal RNA (274 nucleotides) under uncultured bacterium. RNAcentral's name for it is "partial 16S ribosomal RNA". It matches the Rfam family "Bacterial small subunit ribosomal RNA", at positions 523 to 796 of the family's 1533-position model. The record is from RNAcentral.